AACGAACGCUGGCGGCAGGCUUAACACAUGCAAGUCGAACGGUUGUAGCAAUACAGCAGUGGCGCACGGGUGAGUAACGCGUGGGAACGUGCCUUGAAGUUGGGAAUAACGUCGGGAAACUGACGCUAAUACCCGAUACGCCUCCGGGGGAAAGAUUUAUCGCUUCAAGAUCGGCCCGCGUUAGAUUAGCUAGUUGGUGGGGUAAUGGCCUACCAAGGCUCCGAUCUAUAGCUGGUCUGAGAGGAUGACCAGCCACACUGGAACUGAGACACGGUCCAGACUCCUACGGGAGGCAGCAGUGGGGAAUAUUGGACAAUGGGGGAAACCCUGAUCCAGCCAUGCCGCGUGAGUGAUGAAGGCCUUAGGGUUGUAAAGCUCUUUGUCAGGGAAGAUGAUGACGGUACCUGAAGAAUAAAGCACCGGCUAACUUCGUGCCAGCAGCCGCGGUAAU
This 451-nucleotide ribosomal RNA is filed under the name uncultured bacterium. Its description in RNAcentral is "bacterial SSU rRNA". It matches the Rfam family "Bacterial small subunit ribosomal RNA", at positions 29 to 524 of the family's 1533-position model. The record is from RNAcentral.